CCCGCCCUCGGGGAGCUUGAGGUCCGGGUCGUUGGGGUCGACCUCCACCGGCGCGGUGGCCGUGGGUUCGGUGCCCGGGGGCACGC
This 86-nucleotide transfer RNA is filed under the name Streptomyces phaeofaciens. RNAcentral's name for it is "tRNA-Pro". Lineage: Bacteria; Bacillati; Actinomycetota; Actinomycetes; Kitasatosporales; Streptomycetaceae. RNAcentral also lists the same sequence under 1 other name. The record is from RNAcentral.